GUUGCUUUUAACCGGCAUCUGCCGGUGUUCCCAACUACUUCUUCAAAAAGCCAUCUUCAAUCUCAGCCAGCCCCAAACUCAACCAAAUCACCUUACUCCCCUUCAAAUUGAUCCGGUGUUCAGACUAAAUCACAAACCACAACCACCCAUUCAACUUACUACCCUUUAAAUUGAUCCGAUUGUUUGACUAAACAUACCCACUUUUGAAAAACGUCGGAGAUCCCCAGCACCGUCGCCAGUCAGUCAACCUCCGUUAGGACUUUUGGUUUGUCAUCUUCUUCGUCGGGUCCGACUGUUUAUGUUUGUCAGUUGCCAAUGUUUCAUAACUUCUUACUCAGGUUGUUGGGUAUCGGUUUUGCACAUUCUGUUUGGUGAUCUUUUCGGUAUAUUUGUUUUUUCAUAUAUAUGUCAUAUUUACAUUUUUUUAUGUUGAUGUCUAUCGUUUUAUUGUAUGUAGUUGGUUAUGAUCCGUAUAUAUGUUGCUCUUAUUAAUAAUAUUUAUUUUUGCCAAAAAAAUAUUACCUAUGAAUACACAAGGGACAACGAAGAUCAUUGCCAGAGUUCAGCAAUCUUUACUGAUUUUGGAAUAAUGAUGGAGAUGACUUCAGACUGUAAAGGGGACUCAAUGGCAAUGAACAAUGGCAAAUAUGUUCGGUUCACACGGAACAUUGCCCAAAACCGAGCUCACAACUGAGACAACAACUCAUUCAUAAGUGCCUUAUCCUCUCAAACAUCGAGCCAAAGCAGAUCAAAGUCCGGUUUCAUAAUCGAAGUUUGUCAUUGUGUAUAGAAAAAGAAGCAAAGAUCAAAAAUAAAACCAGGAACUACUUGGAUGAGCUAGCGCCAAAGUGUCACAUCGAAAAAAGAACUCCGAGCUUCUUCCAAGGUGUAUACAUGGCAUUUUGAAACUCCAAUAUGCCAUGAAAGGAACAAGUUCAAGUGACUGAGAAGUUUAUAACAUUACAAUGAUCUGGAACAGGCUGGAUAUAUGAUUCAGUGUUGCAUUUAUGUGCUUCCUUCUUUGCCGACCUUUAUGUUUAGUACAUCAUUUCCUAUUAAUAGAAAAAUAUACCCGCCACGAAGCGCGGGCGUCAUCUACUAGUUUUAUAUAUAUACUGUAGUAGACAAAAAGAAAAGGGUAUAGUGAAAGUAAAACACACUGCCUACGUGGCAAUGAUAAAUCCACUACACCCAUAUCAAAGGGUAGUUUAGCUAAAGGCCCACUGCCUACGUGGCAAUGAUGUGUAGCUAAAACACACUCAUG
Molecule: long non-coding RNA, 1264 nt
Organism: Helianthus annuus (common sunflower)
Lineage: Eukaryota; Viridiplantae; Streptophyta; Magnoliopsida; Asterales; Asteraceae
Exons: 6
Source: RefSeq, a predicted model, not a curated record